Molecule: ribosomal RNA, 2622 nt
Filed under: Triticum aestivum (bread wheat)
Lineage: Eukaryota; Viridiplantae; Streptophyta; Magnoliopsida; Poales; Poaceae
Description: partial small subunit ribosomal RNA
Source: RNAcentral
CUCGCGCGCCGAACCUUUCGUCCCCGGACACGGUCAGCCGCCCGGUAGCUCUCACGGAGAGAGCCGUACCUCGCCGACGACGCCGUGGCAGCACGCAAGGCGCCGAAGUCAUCACACGCCCAUGUGCCGCGCGCUGUACCCCGGCGUUGACUGCGGGCACGUUCCCAAUUCCAAGCUCCACGGGGACGGGACGGGACGGUCCGGUCAUACCGCGGGCCGCGGGCUCCAUAUCGCAUCUUCGCAUCUCCUUCCUCCCUCCCCCAUCCAUCCCCACACCGCAGGGGCCACGCCGCUGCCAACCUACGACCCAGACUCGCCACCCAUCCCGCAACGUCGGAGGAGACAAAUCACCAGACAAGACUCUCGCCGAUUCCUAAACCGGCGCCAGGAUUUCGUUCCCAUCCCUCCUCGCCCAUUUCCGUCCCCGCCCGGCCGAUCCACCCCACCCCGCCCCCGCCCGCCGGAUCACGCGGUUCUUGCGACGCUGCAGAUCCAAGAAACGCACUCCUCCCUCCCUCCCUCCGGUUUGCUCCCUCCUCUCCUCUUCUUCCUCUCGCCAAGCUCCCGUUCUCGUGUUGCGUGGCCUCGUGGCGUGAUCCGUACGUGCGUGCCUCCGUUUCUUGUUUUGGAUCUCUCAGGACAAGGCCGCCCGAGGAAAUCGGCCAGGCGGGCAGGCACUCGGGCGCCAGGCGCGAGGCGAGGGCCGAGCUUGAUGCUCCCAGCUUGCUGAGGAUCAAUGCUAUCCAAGCCACCCUCUGAUCCGGCCGGCAAGCUCUCGAUCGAAAUGAUGGAGGACGAACAAUCAGCCACAUAUACUGUGGAUGACGCCCUUAUAUCUUCAGGUUUUGGGAAGUACCAAAUAUUGAUUCUCUCCUAUGCUGGGAUAGGCUUAAUCGCAGAAGCAAUGGAGAUGAUGCUGCUAUCAUUUGUUGGUCCAUCCGUUCAGUUAGAAUGGAAUCUUACUGCUCACCAGGAAAGCAUGAUUACAAGUGUUGUUUUUGUUGGAAUGCUAAUAGGAGCUUACUCUUGGGGUGUGGUCUCAGAUAACUAUGGAAGGAGGAAAGGGUUUCUCUUUACUGCCAUUAUGACGAGUGGAGCUGGAUUCCUGAGUGCCUUUUCUCCAAACUAUGUAGCUUUAAUGGCUCUACGGUUUUUAGUUGGUAUUGGCUUGGGAGGAGGACCUGUUCUUGGAUCUUGGUUCUUGGAAUUUGUUCCUGCUCCAAGUAGAGGAACUUGGAUGGUGGUACUCUCAGCAUUUUGGACUGUCGGUACCAUCUUCGAGGCUUCGCUUGCAUGGGUAGUUAUGCCCAAGUAUGGCUGGAGGUGGUUGCUAGCAUUAUCAUCUGUGCCGUCUCUCCUCCUGCUUUUGUUUUAUGCUAUCACACCCGAGUCGCCAAGGUUCCUCUGCAUGAAAGGCAGAACAAUGGAGGCUGUGGAUGUACUGGAGAAAAUGGCAAGGUUAAACAGUGCACAACUCCCUUCGGGUAAGCUUGUUUCUGACAAGAACAUUGAGCUAGAUGAAGUUUCCGAGUCUGCAACGCUUCUGUCUGCUACUGCUAAAGCUGCUAAAGAAGAAGAAAACGACAACAUCAAGGAAGACGAAGGUUCCGAUUUUGGAGGUUUCAAGUCUGUUUCUAAGCUGUUGUCACCAAAAUUGCUCAGAGCAACUCUGCUUCUGUGGAUGGCUUUCUUUGGGAAUGCAUUUUCGUAUUAUGGUAUUGUUCUGUUGACAUCGGAGUUAAGUAACGGAAAUAGGAUAUGUGCAAAACAGGAGGUUGAAUCUGUACACUCGAACAACUCAAGCCUGUACAAAAACGUGUUUAUUUCUAGCUUUGCAGAGAUUCCAGGGUCAUUCGUGUCGAUCAUGAUCGUGGAUAGAAUUGGGCGAAGGCUUUCAAUGGCUUCGAUGCUCUUCACUAGCUGUGUCUUUUUAUUCCCACUAGUGUUUUCCCGCACAGAAAUACUGACAAGAAUCUCAUUAUUCGGUGCCCGGCUCUGCAUUUCUGCGAGCUUCACAAUCGUAUACAUAUACGCUCCCGAGAUCUACCCAACCUCGGUGAGGACGACAGGCAUCGGAGUCGCCAGCUCGGUCGGCAGGAUCGGCGGCAUUCUGUGCCCCCUCGUCGCCGUUGCUCUGGUGCACAACUGCCAUCAGACGACUGCGAUCCUCCUCUUCGAGCUCGUGGUUUUCCUCUCGGGGGUGGCUGUCAUGUUCUUCCCUUUCGAGACAAAAGGCUGCAGGCUCAACGACACCGAGGCCGAUAUGCAUUGAUGCGGCGGGUUAUAUCAUAGCACCAUUUUUUUGUGUCCUGAGAGCAGUGGCGGCAUAUUAUCGAACUUUUUUUUCCAACAUGAUACCGAUAUUGAUUAUAGUGAUCUUAGAUACCGGGGAAUCCUUUCCCCUAGGAAUGAUCCCCCAUCCACUUGGCGGCAGCGGUGCAAGGGGAUUGCAGAGUAUAAGAAUAGUUGGGUCAGACUGUGCUCGGUUCUGUUUUGUAACCUAUACUUUGGACUUUGGAAUGAUAGUCGUUGGAAUAAGGAGAUACACCAGUUGGGCAGAAACUAGCUUUUAACCAGCUUGAUGGUAAGAAAUCCUGGGACCUGGAAAUUCAUAUCAUUUCG